AUGGAGUUAAGACUGAGCUGCGUUUUCCUUGUUGCUCUUUUCAAAGGUGUCCAGUGUGAGGUGAAGCUAGUAGAGUCUGGAGGAGGCUUGGUGCAGCCUGGGAAGUCUCUGAAACUGUCCUGUGCAGCCUCUGGAUUCAUCUUCAGUGAUUACUUCAUGAAUUGCAUGCACCAGGCUCCAGGAAAAGGGUUGGAGUGGGUGGCAAUGAUAGAACACAAACCUAAAAAUUAUUUAACAAGUUAUGGGGAGUCUGUGAAAGGCAGAUUCACCAUCUCAAGAGACGACUCCAAAAGCAGUGUCUACCUGCAAAUGAACAACUUAAGAGUCGAAGACACUGCCAUUUACUAUUGUACUAGACACAUUAAGAGAACUUCAGUGUGA
This is a non-coding RNA of Mesocricetus auratus (golden hamster), 381 nucleotides long. The record is from the annotation of a RefSeq genome assembly. Lineage: Eukaryota; Metazoa; Chordata; Mammalia; Rodentia; Cricetidae.